CUGAAGUAUGUUACCGCAAGGAGCGUCCUAAGGUAAGACCGGUGACUGGGGCUAAGUCGUAACAAGGUAGCCGUACCGGAAGGUGCGGCUGGAACACCUCCUUU
Molecule: ribosomal RNA, 104 nt
Filed under: Bacteroidales bacterium
Lineage: Bacteria; Pseudomonadati; Bacteroidota; Bacteroidia; Bacteroidales
Description: partial 16S ribosomal RNA
Rfam family: Bacterial small subunit ribosomal RNA
Source: RNAcentral